UUUCGCAAUGCCCGAAAGGGUGACGAAGCGACGCCGCGUGCGGGAAGAAGGCCUUCGGGUUGUAAACCGCUGUCGGGAGUUAAGAAAUGUAAGGAUGUUAAUAGCAUCUUUGCUUGACUAAGGCUCCGGAGGAAGCCACGGCUAACUCUGUGCCAGCAGCCGCGGUAAUACAGAGGCGGCAAGCGUUGUUCGGAAUAAUUGGGCGUAAAGAGCACGUAGGCGGCUAUGUAAGUCGGUUGUGAAAGCCUUCCGCUCAACGGGAGAACAGCAUCCGAUACUGCAUGGCUUGAGUGCGGGAGGGGAGAGUGGAACUUCUGGUGGAGCGGUGAAAUGCGUAGAUAUCAGAAGGAACGCCGGCGGCGAAAGCGGCUCUCUGGCCCAUAACUGACGCUGAGUGUGCGAAAGCUAGGGGAGCAAACGGGAUUAGAUACUCCGGUAGUCCUAGCCGUAAACGAUGGGCACUAAGUAGAGGGGUUUUAAUCUC
RNAcentral lists this ribosomal RNA (484 nucleotides) under uncultured bacterium. Its description in RNAcentral is "bacterial SSU rRNA". It matches the Rfam family "Bacterial small subunit ribosomal RNA", at positions 364 to 841 of the family's 1533-position model. The record is from RNAcentral.